This 522-nucleotide ribosomal RNA is filed under the name uncultured bacterium. RNAcentral's name for it is "bacterial SSU rRNA". It matches the Rfam family "Bacterial small subunit ribosomal RNA", at positions 988 to 1509 of the family's 1533-position model. The record is from RNAcentral.
CCAGAGAACUUUCCAGAGAUAGAUUGGUGCCUUUCGGGAACUCUGAGACAGGUGCUGCAUGGCUGUCGUCAGCUCGUGUUGUGAAAUGUUGGGUUAAGUCCCGCAACGAGCGCAACCCUUUAUCCUUUGUUGCCAGCGGUUAGGCCGGGAACUCAAAGGAGACUGCCAGUGAUAAACUGGAGGAAGGUGGGAUGACGUCAAGUCAUCAUGGCCCUUACGAGUAGGGCUACACACGUGCUACAAUGGCGCAUACAAAGAGAAGCGACCUCGCGAGAGCAAGCGGACCUCAUAAAGUGCGUCGUAGUCCGGAUUGGAGUCUGCAACUCGACUCCAUGAAGUCGGAAUCGCUAGUAAUCGUGGAUCAGAAUGCCACGGUGAAUACGUUCCCGGGCCUUGUACACACCGCCCGUCACACCAUGGGAGUGGGUUGCAAAAGAAGUAGGUAGCUUAACCUUCGGGAGGGCGCUUACCACUUUGUGAUUCAUGACUGGGGUGAAGUCGUAACAAGGUAAGCGUAGUGCU